CAGCAAGAUGAUUUCAAUGCUAAAAGAGUUCAUCUGUGAUACAGAGAAGAUUAGCAUGGCCCCUGCACAAGGAUGACAUGCAAAUGUGUGAAAAGUUCCAUAUUAAA
Molecule: small nuclear RNA, 107 nt
Organism: Myotis lucifugus (little brown bat)
Lineage: Eukaryota; Metazoa; Chordata; Mammalia; Chiroptera; Vespertilionidae
Source: Ensembl